RNAcentral lists this transfer RNA (73 nucleotides) under Diaphorina citri (Asian citrus psyllid). It matches the Rfam family "tRNA". Rfam says of the family: Transfer RNA (tRNA) molecules are approximately 80 nucleotides in length. Their secondary structure includes four short double-helical elements and three loops (D, anti-codon, and T loops). The record is from Rfam by way of RNAcentral. Lineage: Eukaryota; Metazoa; Arthropoda; Insecta; Hemiptera; Psyllidae.
GCCUAGUUAGCUUAGUUGGUUGUGCGUCUGCCUUGUAAGCGCUAGGCCGCGGGUUCGAUUCCCGCGCGGGGCG